Pan troglodytes (chimpanzee) is the source of this 2646-nucleotide long non-coding RNA. RefSeq lists it as uncharacterized. NCBI's taxonomy places the organism in Eukaryota, Metazoa, Chordata, Mammalia, Primates, Hominidae. The record is from RefSeq and is a predicted model, not a curated record. The transcript has 6 exons.
AGUUUCAGUUUACAGAAGAGAAAUCUCCACCAAAGUCUAUGAUCAAUCCCAAAUAUUGGUUCAGAAAGAAGGAUGGAAGGGAAUUGGGCAGUUGUGGAGCAUCUACUGUGUGCCAGACAUCAUGCUGGCAAAGAUGUCACACAGUACAUGGAUUUGCUGGUUUGGUCAUCACAACAACCCCAUGAGAGAGGGAUACAUACUGCGAUUUGUAGGUGAUGCCAACCAAACAUGGAGGUUGCCUUAAAGCAUUAACCUGAGUCUGAAGAAUGAACACAUGGAAAUGAUGCUCAUGACGAGGUUAAUAAUCACACAAAAAGAAUAAUUCUGAGAUUAGCAAUUUACAACUACCCUUGGGCAUGCCUGCCAGCCCCAGGGAAGGAGAGAGGAGAAUCCAAGAAGGUCCUGGAAAGUUACCAGAGAGGAUGAGUUUCGAGGCAGUUGCAUGUAAAUGUGGCUUAGCCAAUGGGAAAGGAAGGGAUAUGUGUCCUGGGACAGGGUCUGUGACUUCAAAAGAUGUGAAAACUCUUCCUCAUCUGUUGAUAGCACAUUUUUCUCCAUCCAAGGGAGGAAAAAUAAGCCCAGCCAGGUAAGCACCCAGAAUAACAGAUGUGUUUUUCCAAGAUUAUGCCCAAGGGACAGAAAAUAAAGAUUCUGCUGGAUACAGACGUCCUAAAAGCAGCAAGUUUAUCCUGUAACCUUGCCAAGGCAAUGUCUGCCAUUCUCAAUGCUAAGCCAGAGUAAGAGAGAAAAGAAUAUUCAAGGAGUAAAUCAACUUGAAGCUCCAAGUCAAACAAGAAGUUAGUCAUUAAAUUUGGGCUGUGCCUCUCAUUCCUCACUGUCGUAGAAUUUUAGCAGAGCUAGUUUUGUCUUGAAGGCUGAGACACACUGGAAGGAAUCAGAAAGGCCUGUGUUGGGAUCAACGCUCUGCCAUUUAUUGCAUGAAUACAGGUAAGUGACUUAGCCUCUCUGAUUUGAGGAAUGUUUGGAAGGCAGACAUCACCCCAAAAUAACUACCCAUCCUGCAACUGAUGUUUGCUAUCAUACAAUUAACAGUAAGUUUUCCCUGCUAUUAAGGAUUCCCAUUAUCUGCAGUCCUGCUUAAUUCAGAAGAACUAGGAGACCAAACACUAGCAACAUGCCAAGGACAUUGAGCUAAUGAGUGGCAGAACCUGGACUCAAGCUCAUACCUGCUCAGCUCCAAAGCCUAUGCUCUUAUCACUAUCCCUUCUUAUCUUCCAAUAGGUGACCAAGAAAGCCAGUACCCACAGGCUGGGCUCAAAUUAAAUCAAGCUUAAUACCUAAUCCUAAUUAAGACAGCAGUAUGGAACAGAGAAAAUAGCACUGAACCAGGUUUGGACACUUAUGAGGUUUGUAUGACCCUAAAAAAGUGUUCAUUUUACUUUACUGAGCUUCAGUUUUCCUCAUAGGAAAACUAGGAAUAAUGCCCAUGUCAGUCAAGGUAGGAUAAAUUGUGACGCAGCAACAAAUAGCACCAGAAUGCCAGUGAUUUAAAGCAAUGAAGAUUUUCUUUGUUUUGUUUUUUGCUGGUGCUAUGUGUACCUCUCGGUUCAUCUGUCAUCUGGGGCUUCUUCUCUACACUAGCCUCACUCCAGAACCUAUGCUGAUGGAGCAGCCAUUGAUUGGAACACUUCUGCCCACCCUUGUGGAGGAAACAGAGAAACUGAGAUGGCCUCAUGCCUGCACUUAAAUGCUCAGCUUGAAGUUGACAAUUAUUUCACAACUUCUUAGAAAGAACUGGUUACAUAGUAUCCCCAACCACUGUGGGCCAGAAAUCAUGCUCCUACUAUUCUCUUAGAAGAAUGAAGAGUUGAACCAUUUGGCGAAUGGCAUAUUUAAUGGCUACCCAGUUGCCCACCUGGGCUACUUCAAAGGGCUGCCAGUAAGAUUAAGUAAAAAAACUUGUAGGAAGAUGUAGUAUAGUAAUCUCUAUAUUUUUGAGCCUUAGAGAGCAGUAAAUGAAUAACUCCCCAUCUCUUUUUUUUCCCCCACUUGAAUGUACUUUCUUCUGAGAAAUUUGAUUGGUGGGGACUUGUAGUGUUUCUGCUGAGGUCAGAUGCUUGCAUUUCCUAGCUAAUACUGUCACAAGACAUUGAAAUGGUAAAGCCAACUCUGAGCCCAUGAAAAAAGUGUUUAAUAUGUGAAAAAGAUUAUAGAAUUCUAGGAUUUUAGAUCUACAAGAGAUCUUGACAGUCCUCAGUCCAUGUGCUUAUUUUUUCAGAGAAAGUAAGAGAAGCCCAGAGAAGGACCAUGACUUGCCCACAGCCAGACAGCAAGAUAGUGGCAGGGCUGCAACCAGAGUCCAGGCCUCCUGACUCCCAGCAACACGAAACUAUAGAUUCCUUUAUUAUGAUUUUGCAUUCUGAUGUGGAACAUUUAUACCAAACCCAGAGUGGCUAAUCUGCUUUUCCUUUAAGUUCUUUGAGUCAGUGAUCUCGUUGGACACAUAAAACAUUCCUCAGUAAUCAAGCAAGGAAAAACAAAAGAUCAUCUAUACCUAGUCUUUAGUCUGCAAAGGCCUAAUUCAAUAAGCAUUAAAUGACUUAUUACAGAGAAUUGGAGAAAGAUUCUAGGAAAGCCAAAACUUAAAAAAAAAAAAAGACAAAAAUAAACGAAAUUUUUGUCCUC